Molecule: long non-coding RNA, 1108 nt
Filed under: Chinchilla lanigera (long-tailed chinchilla)
Lineage: Eukaryota; Metazoa; Chordata; Mammalia; Rodentia; Chinchillidae
Description: lncRNA (ENSCLAG00000025496.1)
Source: RNAcentral
ACAAUUGGGGUUUCUUCUAUAUAGCUGAAAAUUAUAGAUAAAUUAUCAAAGAAGACUAUUUGCUCACUGGUUCCGGUCACUUUUUUCUUUAAUAAUUAAACUUUUGUUUUGUUUUGUUUUGUUUUGUUUUUGGCACCGGGAAUCGAACUCAGGACCUUGUGCUUGCCAGAGGUGCUUCUACUGCUGAACUGUAUCCAUGGCCCCUUUAACAAUUAAACUGAAAGUAACUCAGCAACUGCCCUUUUUAAAAAAAAAAAAAUUACUCUCUCAGUGGUUGUAUGCGUUAUUCUGAAUGUUUAAUUCUUCACUUCCAUUUGCAAUGAUAUGCUGUAAUUUUGGAAAGAGAAUUAUUCUUGUGUGACAUAUUCUUCUAACUUUUUGUUGAAUCUCUUCACUCUUCUUGUCAGUGUAGAAUUAUGAGGAAAGGAUUCUAGAUGUAUUUGUUUUCAGGAAGGAAAGAGGAUAGGAAGCAAAAUUAAAAUCGAAGUCACUCUCCUAGGUGUAAUUCUUUAAAAAUUAUUUUAAGGGUUGUAGCCACCAGGCAUCUGGGCCUGGAAAACCACUUGGGCCUAAUUCGCGUUCUCCCUACUAAAGCAGGCCCUUGAAAGUCUGCCCCUAGCAGCAAGGUUGGGAAAAUUUCUGUUGCUGUUCUUGUCUGUGAUAUACGGUAGAAGGGUUGGCCCCGGUUGGGUCCACCUGCCAGCGGAGUUUAAAGUUUCUGCGGCUCCGAGGAACACAAUGAUUUGGAUCAAACUGGCUAAAGGGAAGAGGAGCAUUUCUGCCGCAUCGGAGAACCCGUCCGUGGAAAUCCUGCUAAGCCAGCUGUCCUUUCCACGCGUCCGUGCCGUGCCGCAGAGAAACGCGCCACGCCGGCCUCCUCUUGCCCUGCCCAGAGGUUCUGCCGAUCAAGGAUAUGCUGAAAGCUCGGAGACGUGCGGCUGGAAGAUGAAGCGAGGCGGAGUGCGGCCACGGCAGUGUUUUCUGUUGGCACCCGCUCCAGCACCCCUCUGCGGGGCCAGCUCGCCGUGCAGUGGGGCGGCCGGCGAGGACGCGCACCGGGCGAUCGGCACCGGGUGGCCCGAGCAGAGCGCGGGGAGGCGCGCAUGGG